UUUAGAUCCACUAAAUAACCCGUCGCUUACAGAACAAGCUAGCUAACAAAUCAUCGCACACCGCCUCAAAAUAAGGACCGCGUCCAGAUUACGUGACCGACUCUGAUCGGCUUCCAGAUUAACCGACUAUGUGAUUAAAAAUAAAUCCUAUACGCAAUCACAAUUUAAUCUCAGCCUUUCAUCUCAUUCGUCCUUUCUAUAAAACCUCCGUAUUUUCAAACGCUUCGGGUUAUGGGCGCUCUGUGAUUUUGGUUUUUUGUCUAGUUUCUUCUGGCAAUUUGUUUUUCCUCGUCUGUUCGAUCUCUGUAUCUUUUUGGUUUGAUUGAUAUUUUAUGUAGUUUGCUAUCGGUUUGUGUAUGUUUUGGUUCGUAUGUGCGUAGAAUAUUUCGGUGCGUAGAAUAUUUCGGUGCGAAGAGAACAGUUGGUAUUGAUUUGAUUGGUAUUGCAAAUCGGUGAGGGGUGUUUCUUCUUUUCUCCAUACCUGGUUUUUGUUUCCAAGUUAUUUGCUGAAGAUCUAAUGUCUAGACUUAUUCCGAUGGCUUUCUUGGUUGGUUUGGAUUUGUUAGAUUGUUUACAUUUUGGUAGAAAUCUUUCUGGUUGUUUUGUGGUGCUAGGUUUUGGAAUAAGCGGAAUCGAAGCUUGAGUACAAAGGAUUAUUCGUGGUUAUUUUGGCUUUCUGUUUGAUUGAGGCAAAUUGUGUUUUGAUAUUGCAUUGCCAUGUAGUUUCGCUCGGAGUCUGAUGAUUGUUUAAUUGAUUUCAGCUCUAGUAGGAAACAGAGUUUGAUUCAGUUUGAUUCAUGAUAUUUUAAGGUGUGCUACGACAGUGGUGGCGGUGGUUUGAUAAUCGAUUUGAUCUGAUCUUAAGUUUUGGAUUAUUCAAUUUUUCCCCUUCAUAUUUUUUAAUCCAACACGUUACCACAAAGACCUUCAAUUUUGGUGGUUCCUAAAUUAGUUUCUUCUCUCUUUUAAUUGACGUGUUAUUACGAGGAUUAGUGGUUUGUGGUGUGAUUUCCAGGAUCAAGACUGUUUUUGCGGAUGAAUCCUAUAUGCAUGGUGAAUCAUGUUGGCAGGGUUGUCAGGGAGAUUCUUUACCCCUUCGUUUUGUGCGGCUGUCAAUUAAAUUUAUAUAUCUCUGUUUAGGAAGCACGUAGAACUAGUUUCUGACUUGUAUGUUUGCAUGUGUUUCCAGCUUUUUAUUUGAGGAAGAUGUUGACUGGGAAUGAUCAAGGAGUUUUCUUUCCCUUUCUUAUAUUGAUUCUCUCCCCUUUAUGAGUAGAACCCCUCAGUGAACAGGAAGUCGUUGCCUGAGCUUUUGGUUUAAGAUGUUCAAAUUCUUUUUAAGAAGAAUGUGAGCUUCCGAUGCUUGCUUUUGCAGGAUAAAUUGGCUUCACAUGUUCAUAGAUGAACUCGUCAAGUUGUUGAUACAAUGGUAUUCUGCCCGUAAUCCCAUAAAUUAUUCUUCUUGUGUUGGUUGGUAUUGUGCAUUAUGCCAAGGUUAAUGUCUUAAUCAAAGAUGUACUUAAUCAAAGAUGAUUGGCAAGGGAGUGUCUAUUGUCCUUUGCUCAUGUUAUGUUUUGUGUAGUAGUCCGAUAUUCAGUUGUGCUUCUGCUUUUGAUGUUCUCAAAUUCUUCCUGCAGUUUCUGUUUUCAGUCAAGGAUACAGUACAGAGCAAGUCUUAAAUAUCCUGGUGGAUUUUCUUUUUACCUGUUUUUAUUGGUUCACAUAUAUUUUAUUUGUUUCUUUGCAAAUAGAUCUGCAACUUGAGUUUUGCUGCUUGUUUGUAGGUGGUUUGUGCCUUAUUUUGACUAUUUCGACUAAGAUGGAUCAAGGGGUUUGCUCAGAUCUUAAUCUAAAAUUCAUGAUUUUAUGUGUCUGGUGGUGGUAGAUUCUGAGAGCUAGUUGGACUAAUAUUGUUGAUUGUGGAGGGUUUGUGGAGACACAAAUUAUAAGGACUUACUUUUUGCGUUAAUUUGGUUGGCUUUAUGAAUGCCGGUUGGAUGCUUGCAUCUUCUUCCCAUUUGUGAAGAGGCUUGAUCAAGAGGACUUUUGUGCCUUAGUUUUUGGUUGAAAGUUUUCUACUUAAGAACAAGAUAUGCGGUCCAUCUACCUGUCUUUUUGACUUGUCUUUUUCCUUUUUGUUUUUAGAAUUUUUGUUGAUAGCAGUAUUUUAUGCUUCUUGAUCACAAUUCACUGAGCUUGGUUGUGGUUCUCAUCAAUUGGUUUGAGAAUAUUAAGGAAGUCUCUCUCUUUAGUUAUUAGGUUUAAAAUUCUUUAUUUAGAUUAAUAAUAAAAAAAGGAAAUGUGAGCUUCUGAUUCUUGUUUUCUCAGGAUCAUUGAGAAAUUCGUGGACAUGGGCAAAGAUUGAUCUAGGAAGUGUUUCGUACAAAUAUGCCGUACAUAAGUUUUUUUUUUUUUAAUUUUUUUUGGUUUGCUCAUAUUAUAUACGGCAAGUUUAAGGUGUUAAUCAAAGCUGCAAUGUUGUACUUGUCUAGGUUAAUUGGCGUAUUAUGUCCUAAGCUGCAAUGUUGGUCUGAGUUUUAUUCUUUUUUUUUUUUUUAAUAUCCUUUAAUUGGCUUUUUUCUGGUUUUUGUUCCUGCAGAUUUAUUUCCAUGGUUGCAAUACAGAUUGUGCCAAAGCUUUUCUAUUUCUAUUUUGUAUUAUUGCAAUUUUUCCUCUAUACGCAUAACCUCAAAUUUGUCGGUCUUUAAAUUAGUUUCUUCUCUCUUUCAAGUGGCAUGUUAUUUGAGAAUUGGUGGUUUGUGGCAUGUUUAUGAGGAUUUAACCUAAAAUCGUUUAGAGUAGAGAAAGCGAAUCCAUAUAGCCGACCCCAAAUUUUUGGAAUAAAGGCUUAGUUGAGUUGAGUUGAGUUGAGUUGGUGGUUUGUGGCAUGAUUUACAGGAUCAAGGAGUGUUUCUAUGAAUGAAUCCUAUAUGCAUGGUGAAACCUAUUGGCAAGCUUCAGUGUGAGCUGAGUGUUCUUUCAGUGAGUUGUUUUGUCAGCUUGUGGAUGGGCAUGAACAAGAAGUGUUUGCUCGAGUGUUUGGUUUAAGAUGUGCAAAUUUUUUUUACUUGGGACUUCUUCUCUUUUUUUUUUUUUAAUGUCCCUUUUGUCCUCUCUCUCAAAUUCAUUGCUUUUAUUGGGUUGGAAAGGCAAAUUUUUCUUUGAUUUUAAUUGCACACUUGUACUCUUUCUUGAGUUCUACAUCCUCUCUUCAUUUUGCUUAUGCAUUUUGCUUCCUCAAAAGGGAAAGGUGGGUAAAGGCUAGGGGCUAGGUAAAUAAUAUGGGUAAGCAAUAAAUUUUAGAGGAUAAACAUAGGCUUCAAGUUGGCUACAAGGGAUAUACAUUUUAAUUAGGGGUAGUUAAGGCUUAGUGAGCCUAUAUCAAAGAAUACCUUAAUAAUUUCUUCAUCAAGCAUAUGCUAGGAUUUCGCCUUGAUAGGUCCAAGAGAUAUGUUUUAGAGCUAGUGAGGUAUUUUUUUAGGUUUGCUUGUAUUUCAAAAAUUGUUCUCCUAACUUUACAAGUUCAAUGUGAUAAAUUAAUAGUUAUGAAGAGGUUUAACUAGUCUAGUUCCAUUAAAGAGAUUAGUUUCUUCACAAACAACAUAUUAGAAUCCUUUUUUGCCUAUCUAGAUAUGUUCAUUCCUCUAUUUCGUGGAGUCCAAUUAUUAGCUAAGUUUCACAAUUUAAAGUCUAAAAUUUUUCAAAAAUUUUAAUACACAAGAAUAAUUCAGUUGAAUUUAAACAAUGUAAUGAUGUGCAUGUAAUGAUAUGCAAAUGCAAUGAUAUGCAAUGCACUUGUAUCCCCCCCCAAACUCAAACCAGACGUUGUCCUCAAUGUACUAUAGUCCUAGCUCUAAAAGGUCUCUGAUGGUGAUGAUGGCAAUGCUGGCUCUCCUCCUCAUCAUCUAGCUUCUCCAUUAGCAUGUCCAAUUUGUUGUGGGCUUCCUGGAGGCUGUCCUCGAUUGCUCGCAUUCUGCUGUAUAUUGUGGUCUCCAUGCGCUGUAGGUAUGCGAGGACCGGAUCUAUUGGUGGCGGUGUGUAUGGAGGCACUCGAACGGGGGACUCUUGAAACAUCCGCUCUUUGCCUUCUUUUUUAGGCUGUGAAGUCUCGCCAAGUCCUCGUGCUUCGUCUCUUUGAGAGAUGGUGUUUCCUUCGGCAUCCAGCAGGUAGCAUGUGUUGCCCACCUUCUUACAUAUCACCAUGUGUUGCCCACCUUCUUACAUAUCCCCAUGGAUAUGCAGAUAGUUUGAUCUGUUCUUGACGUUCCAGUGACAGAGCGCAGCCUGUGAUAUCCUGGAACGAAGCCGAAGUGGAGGGCAAUUGUUGUGACAAGGCCACCAAGCACGAUAUGCCCGGUAGACUGAUGACAGAGGUGUCGAAGAUGGUUGCACAAAAAGAAAUCGAUGCUGUAGCGCUGUCCGGUGACCCGAUGAUGGUGUGGGCGGCGAACUGAUGCAUAUAGCGCUGGGCUGGACUUGUGAUGCCCGUGGAUUUGGACUUGCUGGAGUUAUAUGGCUUUGUGUUCGGGGUAAUGGAACUCUAGAAGUUGAUGUUGUUGUACAGCAUGUGGUUCCUAGGGAUCUCCUGGUGGUCGGCACUGUCAAAACCGAAGAUGGCGUUGAACUCAUCUAUGUUCAUCACCUGGUCGACACCAAGGAGGCGAAAUUCAAUCUUGCCCCUAUCCUCCCUGUCGGUAGGCCAUAAGGUGGCCUUGAAACUGCACAGGGUAUGCUGAAAAUUGGAGUUGGGCCAACCUUGUCCACUCGACGCUAUCAAGUAGCCCAUUGAUAUCAUUUUGCAGCCCGAUUUGCUCCAGCAGCAAAAAAUCUAUGUAUUUGGUGUAGCUUAUUUUCCAGGUGUGAAGUCGGGUGCACAUUGCCUUAUGGGCAUCGUCACGGAAUCCCCAAGGAAUGGAGAUUUCGGGUUGUGGAGUGACUUGUGGUUGGGUUGCGGUGGAGAAUGGGCUGGUUGAGAUGGUUGGGGAGAGACUAUCCUUGUUCUUGGGGCAACGAUGGAGGCUGAGGUGGAGAAGAUGAGGAUUCUCCUCUUUGCCUCUAGGAAGAGCCGAUUCUUCUUGUAGAUCGCUUUGCAGGAGCCAUUGAUGAGUUUUUGAGGAGGAGAAAAGUAGGGUUUUGGUGAAGAGAGAUGAGAUUUGAGGGGUUUUUAUAGGCUAGGGGGGUGAAGAUGAAGGGUUUCGCCUUUAUGAAUGGUUUUAAUGCUAUGGGUGCAUUUAAAGAGCCGUUAGGACUCUUUGUUUUGCUCGUUUCGUGCCCCAGGAGUCGCGUCUGCAACAUGAUGCACGGGUAAGUGUAUCACUACACGGGUCCCGACGUGUAGGGCCGUGUAAAUUUCUGCCUGAAAAUUUUAAAUUCUAUCGUAGUACACGGCCCGUGUAAAUGAGCUCUGGGACCCGUGUAACUUUCUUUCUCCCAAGUUGCUUUACUGGAUACGUUACACGGCCCGUUUCAAAUAGAAGGAGGCCCGUGUAACUCCCUGGCUUUAAGUUAUUCUGCUAGAGACAGUACACGGUCCAUGUAAAUUGGGCUAUGGACCCGUGUAACUUUCUGUCUCCCUCAGAGUUAAAAAUGCAAGUAAUUGUCUUCUUUCUGGUUUUUACCUGCAAACUUUAUUUCCAUGGAUGCAAUGCAGAUUGUGCCAAAACUUUUCUAUUUCAAUUUUGAAUUAUUGCAAUUUUUCCUCUAUUCUUUAAUCCAACAUGUUACCACGCAUAACCUCAAUUGUCGUGAUUUUUAAAUUAGUUUCUUCUCUCUUAAGUGACAUUAUAUUAUUAGAAUUGGUGGUUUGUGGCGUGAUUUCCAGGAUCAAAGAGUGUUUCUAUGGGUAAAUCCCAUAUGCAUGGUGAAACCUAUUGGCAGGGUAGUAGAGAGAGAUUUUUUACCUCUUUGUUUUGUGUCUGUCAAUUAAAUUUAUAUAUCCCUAUUUAUUAGGCACAUAGAAUUAGUUUCCGAGUUUGUAUGUUUGCAUGAGUCUAGCUUUUUUAUUUGAGGAAAAUGGUGACUAUGAAUGAUCAGGCAGUUUUCUUAUGCCUUCUAAUAUUCAAUUCGCUCUCUUUUAUGUUAGUAGAUUCCUUGAGUGAAUGUUGUUUUGAUUUUUUUAGUGCCUUUCCUUGAUUCCAGUGUUUUGAGAAAUCAUACCAUGGAGCAUAGUGAGAUCAUUUCAUAAUAUCGGUAAUUUAGUGGUCUGCUUUGUAAUGCUUGGCUAUGAGCUUGCACUUACUUUUCCAAAGACUCCAUUAUCUAAAAAGAAUUUGGUCCAUUAACUUUAGCAAUUAUUUGAUAAAGAUUAAUUUCUAGUUUCCCUGUGCCCUAAUCGUUAUUUUAUUCUGCUUGGUGUGAGCUUGCAUGUUGUUCCAGAAACUCCCUAAUUGUUUUGAGAAUAUGUGGACAAACCUUCCUGAAUAGUUUUAACAAUUUUUUACUUAAAAGAAAGAAUUUAUAGAACUUCUAUUUGAUAUGUUGGCCAUAAUUUCUUGUUAUGAACACAUCAAGUUUAAGGUGAUAAGUUGGAGCUUGCCUUCUGUAUGUCUCUUGGGUCCCAUUGGCUGCAUAGAUAGAGAUUAUUUAUGACUGCUGCUUUCAGCCUUAAUUCCAGUUCUUCUUGAUUGCGGCUUCAGCAUGCUCAGUUCUUUCAGUGAGUUGUUUUAUCAGCUCGUGGAUGGGCAUGAAUAGGUAGUGUUUGGUUUAAGAUGUACAAAUUUUUUACUUGACAACAAGAAUGUGAGCUUCGCAUGCUUGCUCUUGCUGGAUAAAAAUUGAUGGCUUCACAUGUAUGAAGAUCAACACCUUAAGUGUUUGAUACGAUGAUAUUCUGCCCAUAAUAUCGUGUUGGAUUUUCUUUUAGUGUCUUUAUUGGUUAACAUAUAAUUUUAUAUGUUUCUUGGCAAAUGGAUCUGAAACCUGAGAUUUUCUGCUUAUUUGUAGGUGAUUUGUGCCCUAUUUUGACUACUUGGACUAAGAUGGAUCAAAGGGUUUUCUCAAAUCGUAAUCUAUAAUUUAUGAUCUUAUGUGUCUGUGGUGGUGGUAGAUUCUGAGAAUUGGUGGCAAUUUUUUAGGAUUCCAUCAAUAUAGAGGAUUAAUGUUUUGAUCAAUUGUGGAGGGUUUGUGGAGAAAUAUAUUGAAGACUUUUUUUUUUGGCAUACAUUUGGUGUUGGCUUCUUUGAUUACAGCUUGGAUGCCAGCUUGCGUCUUCCUCCAGUGAGAAUAUGUUCAAAGGCUUGGUCAGGAAGUCUCUUGUGCAUCAUGGUAUUUCAUGCUUCUUGAUCACAGUUCAGUGAGCUUGAUUAUUGUUGUCAUUCAUUGGUUUGAGAAAAUAUAGGAAGUCAAACCCUUUAGUUGUAAGGCUCUAAAAUAAAUUCUUUACUUGAAAAAAAAGUGAGCUUCUGGUUCCUGUUUUCUCAGGAUCUAAGACUGCAUUGAGAAAUUCAUUGACUUGGGCUAAGAUUGAUCUGUGUUUUGGUUUAUGAUUGAAAGGGAUGUUUGAAUCGAGUUGGUAUGCUUUAUUUUGCACAUGUUUUCAGGGGUUCUAUGUUUUGAAUUCAUAUGAGAGGUCCUUCUAAUAAGAUCUUGGUGCCCUUUUUUUGGGAGUCUAGUGGUUUUGAGCAAUUAAAUGGUGCCCUUUUUUUUGGAGUCUAGUGGCUUUGAGAAAUUAAAAGCCAUUGAUAGAGCAACGAACUUUUCCUUUCCUUUAUUUAGUGAGUAUGAGUGUACGUUUUAUCAAUAACUCUUUGCCUUAGUUAUCUGUCUUUCAAGAAUAUUGUGUGUAAUCUGUGAAUGGAACAUGACUUCUUGCUUUUAAGGGAUACAGAGCAUUAUUGUUAGAAUAUGAUCCUCUAUCCGAAUCUUAUGAUUUGAUUCAAUUUUUGUCUUAACGAUUCAAAUCUGUGGGGUGGAUCUCAAAUGUGCUUGAAUCUUAACUAAAUCUUUUGAUUGAAUAGUGAAUCAAUAUGAAUCUAUCGAUUUGGUCGAUUUUUUUUCUAGAGGUUUGUUUUACAUGUAGCUUCAAAUUUUAAUACUUCAUGUUAUUUUUUUACUCUGCAACAUAAAAUUUCUCUUAGAUAUUUUUCUUUCAUUAUUCAUUUUUUUCCCUAUACAUCUUUUGGUUUUUUUUUUUUUUUUGGUUAAUAGAUACUUGUUUAAUUAUGAUAUUUUAUAUUAAUAUAUUUUGACAUUUAAUUAUCUUGCUAUCAUUUUUUAUUAUUUAAGUUAAUAUGUAUCUAUUGAUUAUUUAAUAUUCCACGUUAUUUUUUACCAUACUUAACUCAACUAAGCAUUUGUCUUAAAAAUUUAUUAGGGUCGAUUUUAUGGAUUCUUUUUCUCCACUCUAAAUGAUUUUGGGUUAAAUUCUCGGAAAUAUAUAAUGCUUCUAGGUCAUGUUGUGCUACUCUUCUUCAAGUUAGUUUAGGUUGUCCCUUUCUUUUCUUUUUAUCCUCUAACCCAAUAUACUCUACUUGUAACUGAAGUCUCCGUAUAUCUAUGCUUCACAUGACCAAACCACCUCAAUCUUCCUUCUCUCCACUUAUCCUCAAUUGGUACCACGCCUACUUUUUCUCUCAUACUCUCAUUAUGGACUUUAUCUAGUCUAGUAUGGCUACUUUUCCACCUUAACAUUCUCAUCUCCGCAACUCUCAUCUUGGACAUAUACGACUUCUUCAUUGUUUAACACUCACUAUCAUAUAAUAUGGCCAGUUGUAUGGUUGUACGGUGAAAUUUUCCUUUCAACUUAUUGGGAAUCUUCGAUCACAUAUGUAACGGACUGUGGGGACGGCGAUACGUAACGCCUGCAGGUGCCGCCCGUCCCACAUCGGAAACGGGAGAAGGGAAUCUGGGCCAUAUAUGUGGGGGUCAGCCUAAACUGGUCAGCGCGCUUUUGGGAGCGAAACCUCCCAAGGGACAAAGCCGUGAGGCCCACGGGCCAAAGCGGACAAUACUGACUGGGCUGGGCUGGGUCGUUACAAUUGGUAUCAGAGCCGGACUCCCUCCAGUACGAGUGGGUGCGAGGACGCCCCCAGCGGAAGUUGGUGGGUUGUAACGGACUGUGGGGACGGCGAUACGUAACGCCUGCAGGUGCCGCCCGUCCCACAUCGGAAACGGGAGAAGGGAAUCUGGGCCAUAUAUGUGGGGGUCAGCCUAAACUGGUCAGC
Hevea brasiliensis (rubber tree) is the source of this 9161-nucleotide long non-coding RNA. RefSeq lists it as uncharacterized. The record is from RefSeq and is a predicted model, not a curated record. Lineage: Eukaryota; Viridiplantae; Streptophyta; Magnoliopsida; Malpighiales; Euphorbiaceae. The transcript has 2 exons.